This 1565-nucleotide long non-coding RNA is filed under the name Mus spicilegus (steppe mouse). RNAcentral describes it as "lncRNA (ENSMSIG00000010393.1)". Lineage: Eukaryota; Metazoa; Chordata; Mammalia; Rodentia; Muridae. The record is from RNAcentral.
GCCAGCGAUACCCGCCCUCGGGAAGCUGGGGCAGGGAGACCCAGCGUCCCAGGCCAAUCUGGGCUACCCGCUCUCGGUAACCCAAAGUUAGUAACUCUAAAGCUACUCCUGGAAAUUGAGCGUAAUGUCAGUGAGGUUUCACAGCAAAAGAGACUGAGUAAUUUUAAGGUAAAAAUUAAAGUCCUUGCCACAAGUCCACACGGGUGUGGCGCACCUUAAGGACAAGAGCGCUGGAGAACAGGAAGCUACGACUCCCAUUCUCAGUGGGCCGGGAAGGAAUGUCGGCUCCUCCGACCUCUGGUCCCGCAAACGCCCAAGUUUCAGCAGCGGGAAGGGGGAGGGGAGUGGCCGGAACAAAUCCAGGGAACAAUCGCGUCCCUACAACACCCCACUGCCCGACCGCCAGGGACACGCCGCGGUUGUCCCUCAGUGAGGGAGGCGGCCUGAGGCGCGACGCUAGUCCCGCGCGCGCUCCCUGCUCCGGGAACAAAGUUUAGAAAGAGGGAGAAAGUUUUCCAAGAAGGCGCCCCGGCGGUCGACCCGCUUCCCGAGCGUCGGGCUCCGCCCGCCCAGGCCCAGGCUGCUCGGGGAUGCCGCCCUAGCCCGACGCUCUAGGGCGCGGCAGCCGAGAGUCCGAGGCGGACACCCGGGACCCCAGCCUGAGGAGCCCCGCGCCCCACCAGGGGGCCCCGCGCGCCCCGAGGGGAGGUACGAAGAGUUACCUGCGGCGAACUGGGCGAGCGCGGGACGACUCCUGAGGCGCCAAGCCGACGGCCGCCGCUUUGUCUCCCGCCCGUCCGGCUCCCAGGAGGAAAUGGGCCGCCCUGCGCCCCCGCCCCCGGCCCGCCCCGCGCCGCGCCCGCCCUUCCCGGCACCUCCCUCCGCGCGCUCUUCCCGGCGCCUCCCGCGGCCUCCACACCGCCGGUCCCGGCCUGGCGCAGCCGGCGCUUUCUAGGGAGAGCCUCCCACCCGGAAGGUAGCCUGGCAACUCCAGGCCGGGACCCCCAGAAGUCCUUUUGGUUUGGCCUCCAGGCACGCAGACCGGGACCCACGACGGGAAGGAGGGGCGGAGACUCAGGGAACAGCCCGCGGCGGAGACGGGCGGGCGGAGGGCAGUGGCCGGAAGGCAGAGGCAAACUCAUCUCGGAGAGUUUCUGAACUUGUGUGGAAAUCAGGAUGUGUGGGAAUUGAAUUUACUCAAGUGCCAACUUACCUUAAACUCCUAAUCCUCCAGCACACCCCGCAACUGCUGCGAUUAUAGGUCUGCACCAUUAUACCCGGUCUUUUAGGGCCUCUUAAAAAGAGGGAGCAAAUGAGAGCGAUGGCCCCGUGGGUGAAGUUGUUUGCCACUGUAUCAACAAUGCUAGCCUGACAACCUGAGUUGUGGAAAGACAAAAUGAAGGCCACAGAGAUGUCCUCUGACUUCCACACUGGUGCAGAUGGCAAAUCCACCCACCUACGUGUCACACACACAUAACAACAACAAUAAUAAUAAUAGGCAUAUCCACCCACAUACAUAUCACAAUAAUAAUAAAUAAAUUUUAAUUUUAAGAGAGUUGGAGAUG